GCUCACGUAGCUCAGUAGGCAGAGCGUCGCCUUAAUAAGGCGGAGGGCGUCGGUUCAAUCCCGAUCGAGAGCUCCA
Molecule: transfer RNA, 76 nt
Filed under: Clostridium sp.
Lineage: Bacteria; Bacillati; Bacillota; Clostridia; Eubacteriales; Clostridiaceae
Also listed under: 1 other name
Description: tRNA-Ile
Rfam family: tRNA
About the family: Transfer RNA (tRNA) molecules are approximately 80 nucleotides in length. Their secondary structure includes four short double-helical elements and three loops (D, anti-codon, and T loops).
Source: RNAcentral